This is a long non-coding RNA of Sander lucioperca (pikeperch), 213 nucleotides long. RefSeq lists it as uncharacterized. The record is from RefSeq and is a predicted model, not a curated record. The transcript is spliced from 3 exons. NCBI's taxonomy places the organism in Eukaryota, Metazoa, Chordata, Actinopteri, Perciformes, Percidae.
GUUAUGUUAUACUAUAAUGUUAUGUUUAGUGGUGCAGUUUGGCGCAGUUUGUUUUUGUUGCCGUUUGUGGAGCCUGGGCUGUCUACAGAGACCACGUUUUUUUUACAGUGUGUUCAGAGGACAGGCAGCUAGCGGAUAGUGAGGAGAUGUUUACUGUAUGUGACAAAAAAUGUUGUAGCCUAAAAAAAUGCAUGACAUCGCUAAGAGCACCUU